This 2259-nucleotide long non-coding RNA is filed under the name Homo sapiens (human). Its description in RNAcentral is "HSALNT0273663". The record is from RNAcentral. Lineage: Eukaryota; Metazoa; Chordata; Mammalia; Primates; Hominidae.
GUCGGUUUUAUGCUAGGUGUUGUCAUGCUCUGGCUUACUUUAAAAAAAAAUUGGCGCUCAUGCUUGCAAUCCAACUUUGGAUUGGAUUGCAAUCUCACUUUGGGAGGCUGAGGUGGGAGGAUUGUUUGAGGACAGGAGUUUGAGAGCAGCCUGGGCAACAUAGAGAGACCCCGUCUCGACAAAGAAUAAAAUAAUGAGCCAGGCAUGAUGGCGUACGCGUGUAGUCCCAGCUACUCAGGGGGCUGAGGUGGGAGAAUCGCUUGAGCACCGGAGGUUGAUGCUGCCGUGAGCUGUGAUCACGCCACUGCACUCCAGCCUGGGCAGCAAAGUAAGACUCUGUCUCAAAAAAGUAAUAAAAGUUGGUAUAAAAGGCACAUAAGAUAAAAUUCACCAUUUUAGUGAUUUUAAAGUGUUUAAUUCAGUAGAUUCACAACGUUGUGCAGCCAUCACCACUUUCUAAUUCCAGAACUUCAUCACCCCCAAAACAGGCUCACUUUCAUCACCCCAAAAAGAGACUCUUAGUCUAUGCACAGUCACGCCACGUCCUCCCUCCCCCCAGCCCCUGACAACCACUUUCUGUGUCUGUGGAUUCGCCUAUUCUGGGUAUUUCAUAUCUAUGGAAUCCUACAAGCCUUUUGUGAUGGUUUCUUUCCCUCAGCAGAAUGUUUUCAGUUCAUCCACGUCGGAGUGUGGGCCAGCACUUCAUCCCUUGCCAUGGCUGAGGAAUAGUCCAUCACGUGGACAGACAACAAUUUAUUUCUCCAUGCAUCAGGUGACAGACAUUUGGGUGGUUCCCACCUGACUCACUUCAUGAAAGAAUAUCUCUGGGCCCCAUGUGGAGGCUCAAAAGAGCAGAGCUGGGAGACCAGGGAGGAUGUAGCUGCAGGAAUCCCAGGAAUGCAGGUGAGGGCUGGAGGCGGUUGCCCUGCAGGUGAGUGAUGGGAGAGGCCAGAGGGGCCAGCGAGGUGUGGGUCUGGAGCCAGCAGAUCAUGUUUUCUGUCUGUCCUUCCUCCACGACGAUGUACUCUUUAGGAGCCGAGUGACGAUGACCUGUGGAUGAGCAGCCUGGGAUGCCCCUGUCCCCAGCCUCUUCAACCUGACACAAGUUUGCAUUCUAUGCUCUCUUUCUUUGGAACAAGGAUUGACUCCUAAGUGGCAUCUGGAGAAGGCCGAGCUUCCUGCAGGGACCUGAAGAGGGUUUUUAGAAACAGAAACGGAGUCAUCAGAUUGCUCACAGUGGCCAAAUCUUGCCCUAAAGUCAAAGCUCUGAAGCACUGCACUAAAGAGCUCUUGGAACACCCGUGGAUUCCCAAGGAAAGGAAUGGAUAAAGUUGUGAGCAACAGAGGUGGUGGCCGUGGGGGCGGGUGCCCAGGGGAGAAGGCAGCCAUUUCCUUUGUCUUUCCUCUAUUCUUCCUGGAUGCAAUUUUCCACCCAGGUUUUCUCUGUUGGGUGAAAUCUCUGCCCAAGGAGGGGGCUGCAGCUCUCCCUGACCCAGGGCAGGCGGCUCACUUUUCCUCUGCCAACAGGGCCUGACAGCAAAGGCUGCUCAGACAGCCAGGGAGGGCAUCUUUGCAGGGUUCUGAGAUGGAGGCUGUAUUUCUCAGAGCAAAUCCCCUUGCUCUGUUUCUUUCAGAAGCCAUGAUGACCUUGUUGAAUCCAGCCAUUCUGCAAGUGCCUGUUUUGACUUUAGGGAUGGAAGUCCUUCCAGGCAUGCCAAGAGGGAAGGAAACAUGGCAGGUGCACUGGCUUUGAAGUUGCCGUGGUGGUUGCAAUCCUGCAUCUGUCUGUUCCUGAUGGGGUGACCUCAGGCAAGUUGCUUGGCCUCCCUGAAUCCCAGUUUUCUAGUGUGCAAGAUGGGGACCAUAUUGCCUUGGGGAUGACUUCAAGGACUGAGAGAGGUAUUUUUUUUUCUUUGAGACAAAGGCCUUGCUCUGUCACCCAAACCGGACAGCAGUGGUGCAAUCACAGCUCACUGCAGCCUCAACCUCCUGGGCUCAAGGGAUCCUCUCACUGCAGCCUCCUGAGUAGCUGGGACUGCAGGCAUGAGCACCAUGCCUGGCUAAUUUUUCAAUUUUUUGUAGAGAUGGAGUCUCACUGUAUUACCCAGUCUAGAGGGAGAUAAAUUCUAAGCUUAGUACAGCACCUGGCUUAUAUGAAGAACUCAGUAAUCAGUGAUAUUUACUUCAUGUAUUUAUAGUUCCUAACAUGGGUGUUUAGUCAGCCUCCCUUUUGCCACAUCUUCCAACUGUUCAGAUAUC